CCUACGGGGCGCAGCAGUGAGGAAUAUUGGUCAAUGGGCGGAAGCCUGAACCAGCCAAGUCGCGUGAGGGACUAAGGCCCUACGGGUCGUAAACCUCUUUUGCCGGGGAUCAGUGCCCAGCUCGCGAGCUGGGAGGGAGCGUACCCGGAGAAAAAGCAUCGGCUAACUCCGUGCCAGCAGCCGCGGUAAUACGGAGGAUGCGAGCGUUAUCCGGAUUUAUUGGGUUUAAAGGGUGCGUAGGCGGGCCUUCAGGCCGGCGGUAAAAUUGCGGGGCUAAACCCCGCCGAGCCGUUGAAACUGGCUUGCUAGAGUGGGCGAGAAGUAUGCGGAAUGCGUGGUGUAGCGGUGAAAUGCAUAGAUAUCACGCAGAACUCCGAUUGCGAAGGCAGCAUACCGGCGCCCAACUGACGCUCAGGCACGAAAGCGUGGGUAUCGAACAGGAUUAGAUACCCCAGUAGUC
RNAcentral lists this ribosomal RNA (460 nucleotides) under uncultured bacterium. RNAcentral describes it as "partial 16S ribosomal RNA". It matches the Rfam family "Bacterial small subunit ribosomal RNA", at positions 338 to 795 of the family's 1533-position model. The record is from RNAcentral.